AGAAGGAGGAGAAGUGGUAAUUUCCCCGUSGUAGCCGGUAGAAAACGCGUUAGAGGUGACGGAGGGAGUACAGAGGCCCCGGCGACGUAUCCGGCUCUGUAGACUGACGCUGAGGAGCGAAAGCGUGGGGAGCGAACAGGAUUAGAUACCCUUGGUAGUGCCCGCCGUAAACCAUGAGUGCUCAGUGUUAGGGGGUUUCCGCCCCUUAUUACUGCAGCUAACGCAUUAAGCACUCCGCCUGGGGAGUACGGUCGCAAGACUGAAACUCAAAGGAAUUCACGGGGGCCCGCACAAGCGGUGGAGCAUGUGGUUUAAUUUGAAGCAACGCGAAGAACCUUACCAGGUCUUGACAUCCUCUGACAAUCCUAGAGAUAGGACGUCCCCUUCGGGGGCAGAGUGGCAGGUGGUGCAUGGUUGUCGUCAGCUCGUGUCGUGAGAUGUUGGGUUAAGUCCCGCAACGAGUGCAACCCUUGAUUUUAGUUGCCAGCAUUCAGUUAAACUCUCUAGGGUGACUGGCGGGGACAAACCGGGGGAAGGUGGGGAUUACGUCAAAUCAUCAUGCCCCCUAUGACCUGGGUUUCCCACGUGUUGCAAUGGACAGAACAAAGGGCAGCGAAACCGCGAGGCUAAGCCAAUUCCACAAAUUCCUCUCAGUUCGGAUCGCAGUCUUCAACUCGACUUCGCAAGCUGGAAACCCUAGCAUAACGGACCAGCAUACUCGACGUCAAAACCGCUCUCC
RNAcentral lists this ribosomal RNA (739 nucleotides) under Bacillus aerius. RNAcentral describes it as "bacterial SSU rRNA". It matches the Rfam family "Bacterial small subunit ribosomal RNA", at positions 649 to 1376 of the family's 1533-position model. The record is from RNAcentral. Lineage: Bacteria; Bacillati; Bacillota; Bacilli; Caryophanales; Bacillaceae.